Equus caballus (horse) is the source of this 5667-nucleotide long non-coding RNA. NCBI's taxonomy places the organism in Eukaryota, Metazoa, Chordata, Mammalia, Perissodactyla, Equidae. The record is from Ensembl.
GGGUGAGCCCAAAUCCAGGUGACUCUGGGGACACACUUCCAGCUCCUGUGUCCCAUCCUUCUUGUGUUGCUGUCUCUGUCUGGAACACCUGCCUCCAUCUCUCAGACUCCUAGGCCACUCCUCUGUCACUCUCUAUUUCCGCUCUGGUUAAGAGGCUGUGUGGUUCUAGAAAGAACCUAGAGUUGGGAAACGCACUGAAUGUGUCACCAGAUGUGGACCCUAACACGCUUCUCAGCCCUGCUUAAACAUCUGACUUUUAUGUUUGACGUAAUUCUCUUGUCUUCUUGCAAGGUGCAGUUGUUCCGUUACCUAACACCUUGGGGCCUUGAGAUUAUGCGGUUUUCUGCUAUGUUCCAGGAAGAAGCUCUAAGUGACACCCACCCUGGUCCCAGUGGCCUCUGAACCGGCCCAGACCACAACCAAGACUGACACUGCGCAGAUGGGCAGAGAGUUCUACUAAAGCAACCUGACCUCAUCAUCAUCACAGAUUCCCCUCCUCUGGGAGGGGUGAAGCAGCGAUUUUUAGGUCAUGCGAUGUAUCUAAAAACAUGACUUCAAACCACGCGUGUGUAAGCUCGUGCCCACCCCUACACGCGAUGAUCAAUCUUCCCCUUUGAGGAUUCAUUCCCUACCCCAAGUAAAACUACCCCUCUCCCCAUGCUCGGGGGACCAGAGUUUUGUGAAAUUAUUCCCUAUUGUCUCGAUUUUUCUUUGCUACAUGCUCCAAAUAAAAGUUCCACUUUGUGAAACGACUACUUCUGGUGCAGAAGGGACCCUCGUUUAGUCCGGUAACAAAUGCAGCUUCGAUCGCAGCUCUGCCGUCCUCAUUGGCUGUGGAAUCUUAGACAAGUGAUUGGGCCUCUCCCAGCCUCAGUUUCCUCAUCUGUGGAAGGGGCAUUGUUGCUGCUGCCCCAUGGGUUAUUGUGUGAGUUCAUGAGGUGAUACAUGUCAGAGGUUACAAAGUGGCCCACAUGGGCCCACACCAGGGUCUCCUCGACCUUCACUGUGUUUUAAAUUUUUUUGAAUGUGUUGGCAACAUUUAAAAGGUCAGAGGAAGUGUUGCAGGAUGAGAGAGUUCUCGAGCUGGAUGGUGGUGGUGCUUACACAACAGUGUGAAUGAACUUCUUCGAGCCACUGAACUGCAAACUUAAAAAUGGUUAAGAUGGCAUGUUUUAUGUGUAUUUUACCUCAAAUUUAUUUAAAAAUGUCAGGAAAUAUCACAUGGAAACCUUGAUUUCCGGCCUUUCAUGAAAACUGGGAGGACUGGGGUGUGCUGGGCCCACAUUCCCGCAGGGCCCUGGAGGCUGGACUGGAGCUGUUGUUACCACUUUCGGUAUUGAGUGCACCCCUGAGACGGGGACAACAGACAGAGGCCCUCGGCAAAUAUGAGCUCCUCUCUCUUUGGCCCUCACUUCUCAUAUUCCUCCCAAAUCAAUUGUCUCUGCUACAGGGUUAGGUGGAGACAGAGGGAGAGCGAGAGAUGGAGUGAGAGAUGGAGAGACAGAGAGAGAUGGAGUGAGAGAGAGAGAGAUGGAGAGAGAGAGAGAGAAGGAGAGAGAGAUGGAGACAGAUGGAAAGUAAGCGAGAAAUAGAAAGGUGUGUACAGAGAGAGAGCACCAUCCUGCUGUCACCUACUGGAGCCCAAUCAUCCCCGCUGCCCCUCCACGUGGUCCUGAACACCCUCCCGCCCCGCCGCCUGCCUGGCUCUCUCCCUCCAGUCCUGGUCCCUGCCUUUCUGCUGUUCCUUGGCUUCAUUAAUGCUUCCCUCACCCCCUGGUGUCUCUUGUUUUAACAGGACACCCACACAGCCCUGUCCCGCCUGCCUUCUCCACGAGGCAGUUCUCCCAGGCUGCCCAUUUCCGACACAAGCCCAAGGGUGCAAACCGCAUCAUGGAGAGUCUGGGCAGCAGAGCAGUUAGCAGGAAAGACAGAGGGACGAGAGGCUCAUUCCUGCCAGCAGGCCAGCCAGGGCCUAAGGCCCCACCAAAGGGUCACUGCCCCCCCCCCCCAACCACCACCAGGCACCCAGAGCUGGGACCCGGGAGUCGUCCUGGUUCUUCCCUCCCUCCCUUAAUCUCUCUCCAGCGCACUAUCACCUCUCCCUCCCGAAGCCACUGCCUUGGUCCAGGCCCCCUGACCCCACAUCACAAGGACCAUGGUCUAGUUCCCACUUCCCUCACAACCACCCACUGUGGCAGUGACCUUCCUGUAAGAAAAGCUGGUCGCAUCCUUUCCAUGCUGAAUAACCCUGAAGGCCGCAUGUCCUUCUAAACAAAGGCUAACUCCCCUGGAGGACGUGCAGCAUCCUCCCCAGUCUGGCCCCAGCGCAACUCCCGGCCUCAGCCCUCCCCCAUGAAGCUCACACAGCCUCCACUGCUCACUCAAGUCUCCCUGGGGCCACCAGGCUUUUGCACAUGCUGUCCCAGUGCUGACAGCACCCUUAGCCACCUCACCUGCAGUCAACCCCUAAUGCCCUUCAACACUCUGCUUAAAUGUCACUCCUCGGGGGCGUCUUCCCUGCCUGGGGGAUCACUGGAUGCCCCUGCCGCCCAGCCUCCUAUGUCGCCAUGGACUUUGUACAUCUCUGUGCUCUGCCAGUCACUAUGUUCUGGUGUAACUGUGCUUACAUGUCUGUUCUCAUCAUUCUCAUCACUCCACCCGCAACUUCCCUCCGCCCCUGAGCCUUGCAGGCUGGGACUGUGGCUUGCUCAGUGUGUAUCCCGAGCACUCCGCACAGGGCCGGGCACACAGGAGGGACUGGGUAAGGGAAUGUGGAAUGUGGUUUGCACGGGCAGUAGAAGAGGAAAACCAGUCAGGGCACGAAGAUCAGUCAGCUCAGGGGCACAGGGUCCAGGACAGGAAGGGGAGCAGGACUCCUUCCCUCCUUAGGCUCCUGGAGUAGUUGGGGUGGGAGAAGGAGUGUCUGUCCACUAAGACUUUCUGUAGCCCACUGCGGUCCAGCCUGGGCACCUGCCUCCUGCCACACUGGCUUCAGGCCUGGUGGGGCUCCAGGGAGCCCUUGCAGGGCAGGCCAACCUGGAUCCUGGCCUGGGGAGGACAAGGUGGAUGGACACAACCGGACAGAACUGGGCACCAUUUUGGACUUUAUCACUUGCUCCCUGGGCGAGCUUGGGCAAGUUGCUUAACCCUUCUGAGCCUGGUUGCCUCACUAGUGGAACAGGAGCUAAGCUUGCCUCCCUCGGAGAGCACUGGAGCCCGAGUCUGGCACACGACAGGCCCUCAGUAAUUGCUAGUCUUCACCUUCUGGAUGAAAUAUGUCCCUGGAAGCAAUGGCAGCUGAGGGAAGCUGGCUGGUCUACAUCAGACAGGUCCUCCUCUCCCUCUGGAGGAGCCAAUGGGGAUGCCCCCCUCCUGCAACCCUGGCCCUGCCCCCUUCCUAAGCACAGUGAACCUGGGAGGGCGGGGAGAUCUGGGGCCACAGGCUCAGGAAGGCUGAUGGGAGCAGGAAGGAGGCAAAGAAGCAAAGAACCAUCCACAAGGUGCUGAGGACCCCUCAAGAGAUGGACCAGCCGAUGCCUUUCGUCGCCGAAAUGCCAGGUGGGCUGUACCCCUCCAAGGAAAUUGUCGUGUGAGGCAUUGCCCUGCCCAGCGCUGAGAGGUUGCAAAUCAACUUGUACUCUGGGAAUGACAUCGCCCUCCACCUGGACAUCCGUUUCCGUGAGAACGUUGUGGUCUGCAACACAAAGAUGAACGGCAUUUGGGGGUCGGAGGAGCGAAGCCCGAUUGAAAAAAUGCCCUUCAUCCCAGGCCAAAGAUUCUUGAUGAGGAAACAGACUCACAAGUGCAGGUUACUGGCCUGAGGUCACACAGAUGAUACGUGCCAGAUGGAGCCCAAGAAUGAGGUAUCAUCCCUGUAUUCACUCACUCACUCACUCAUUCAACAAUCAUUUCAGCUGUUGUCUCAGGAUGUACUUUGUGCAGGAAGCACCCCAGGGGCUGGGGGUACAGCCUGGAGCAGACAGACUCCCUGCCCCACGGAGUCUGCAGUUUAGGAGGCAGAGGAAGCAGGAAACAAACGCACGGACAGACCCUUGCAGAUAAGAACAGGUGCUCUGCAGAAAGCAAAGCAGAAUAGAGGGAUAGAGUGAGCCCCGGGGCAGGGGCGGCACUGUCUUAGACGGGACAGCUCUCCCAGGAGGCCACCGUGCCCUUGAGACCCCAAUGGCAGAAGGAGCGGCCUCGCAAAGAUCUGCAGGUGCAUUGGGGCUGCAGCAGAGGGAGCCCCUGUUACUGCAGAGGCAGAGUCCUGGGCGUGGCCUGUCUGGGACCAGGGGACGGGGGGGCUCCCAGGUGGAUGGACAGUGAGGACAGAGAGGUGAGGGUGGGGCGACUGAGGCCCAGCUCACACAGAGCAGGUGUUCUCAGCCCCGACCACACAGUCAAACCCCUGGGAACUUAAAGAAGGAAAAUCAAUGCCUGGGCCUGCCUGGGGCCAACGAGGGGGUGAGCCUGGGCCUCCCUAUUUUUAAAUCCGCCCUGGUGCUCCUCCCCCAGGGUUGAAAUGACUGAUGUCGGGCCGUGAGGGCCAUGGAAAGAGCUGGGAUUUUAAUACAGCGUGUUGGUGUGUUUCAAGCCAGAGGGCAAUGUACUUUGAUUUCUAGACAGCUGGGUGACUGUGAGCAAGUGAGUUAACUGCUCUGUGGCUCAGUUUCCUCAUCUAAAAAUGGGCUAAUAAUAACAACAAUCUCAGAGAUGUAAGAAUGAAAUGAAAUCUUAUCUGUGACAUGCUUAGGACAGUGCCUGGCGGGCAGUAAGUGUACAAGUGUCAGCUAUUGCGAUGGGGAUGAUGACAUUUUAACAGACAUGCUCCAACUGCCUCUUGGAGAAAGUUUGGGUGGAAAAGACAAGUUAGGAGGCUGCCGCUGCAGGAGUGCAAGCGCAGAACACUCCUCUGUACCAGGGACAAGGGACAGGGACGGCACAAGCCAGCAUUCCUGUCCCUGGAGGCUCAGGGUCCAGUUGGAGAAUGAGGAUGGGGCUGGGGGACAUGACCUAAGGGGCACCUGACUCGACUAGGAGGGAGUCAGGAGGUGUGCGAGGCAGGGAAGGCUCGCCAUCCUGGAGGGAGAUUAGCAGUCAUCCGUGUGGGCAAGGUGUCCUAAGUGCCGAGCACAGGAGGAAGGGCAUUCUGGGCGGUGGGGGCAGAAUAUGCAAAAGUACAGGGGCAAGAGAAUCUUGGGCAUGCUGAGUAAAGAACAAAUCAUUCAGAGCAGCUAGAAGGCAGGUAUAGGGCCUGCUUGAUGAAAGUGUGAGGAAGGCAGGAAUGAGAGAAGGAGACACGAGCCUGCAUUUAGAUUUGAGGGCUCUCCAAGUGGAGUGCAAAUAGCAUGGCCUCUCCACCCAGGUGCGCAUCACGUGUGAAGCCAACUGCUUCAGGGUGGAUGUGAAUGGUGGGCACCUGUGUGAGUACUACCACCGCCAGAACAACUUGUCCUCCAUCAACAAGGUGGAAGUGGUGGGCGACAUCAAGGAGAUUCAGAUUCAGAUGCAGGAGGGAUCCCUGGCCUGGGCUCUAGGGCUGGGGCACAUUGCUGUCUGGAUCUGCUCAUCACCUCCACCUUCCCCGUCCCUGCCCCAGCCCCAGCCCUUCCCAGCCUGCAGAGGGUCUCUUUUCUGGGGAGACCACGCCCUUGUCUGGCCUUGAUG